ACUCAAAGGAAUUGACGGGGACCCGCACAAACGGUGGAGCAUGUGGUUCAAUACGACGAUACGCGUGGAACCUUACCCAGACUUGACAUGUACUAGAAAUCCUUAUGAAAGUAGGGACCCUUCGCAAGAAGCUGGUACACAGGUGUUGCAUGGCUGUCGUCAGCUCGUGUCGUGAGAUGUUGGGUUAAGUCCCGCAACGAGCGCAACCCCCAUCCUUAGUUGCCAAGUAUGCCUUCGGGCGUAACGCACUCUAAGGAGACUGCCGCUGAUAAAGCGGAGGAAGGUGGGGAUGACGUCAAGUCAGUACGGCCCUUACGUCUGGGGCUACACACGUGCUACAAUGGCCGGUACAAAAGGUUGCGAUACCGCGAGGUGGAGCUAAUCCCUAAAGCCGGUCCCAGUUCGGAUUGCAGGCUGCAAUUCGCCUACAUGAAGCUGGAAUCGUUAGUAACCCUAUAUCAGCCACGAUAGGGUGAAUACGUUCCCGGGUCUUGUACACACCGCCCGU
Molecule: ribosomal RNA, 508 nt
Filed under: uncultured bacterium
Lineage: Bacteria
Description: bacterial SSU rRNA
Rfam family: Bacterial small subunit ribosomal RNA
Source: RNAcentral